UAACGAAGCAUCUUCGUUAUACAGGUACCAAGACAUUUCCACUUCUUUCCAGGUUAACCCCUCAGUGUGAAGGCAGUCAUCACUUCUCUCACUCGCUCCGUGAAGUGAUGGAUGUGUGAGGUAUGUGAGGAUCAUGUUCUUUGACUUUUCAAGUGCAUUCAACACCAUCCAACCCACCAUACUCAAAGCCAAGCUCACAGAGAUGGGAGUGGAUCCUUCCUGUGUUUCCUGGAUUGCAGAUUACCUGACAGGAAGGCCACAGUUUGUCAGGCUGGGGAACUGUGUUUCUGGGACAUUAAUGAGCAGUACAGGGGCUCCACAAGGGACAGUGCUGGUGCCAUUCCUGUUCACACUGUACACGUCAGACUUCAAAUACAGCACUGAGUCCUGCCACAUCCAGAAAUACUCAGAUGACACCACUACUGUGGCAUGUAUCAGAAAUGGACAAGAAGCUGAAUACAGAGAUCUGAUAAGGGCCUUCAGUGACUGGAGUCACAAAAACUGCCUCCUCCUCAACACCUCAAAGACAAAGGAGAUGGUCAUAGACUUCCGUAGAUCCAAACCCCCUCUUCAGCCAGUGAACACCUGUGGAGUGGAUAUCGAAGUGGUGACAUCAUAUAAAUACCUAGGUGUACAUCUGGAUAAUAAGUUGGACUGGUCUAAGAAUAUAGACUACAUCUACAGAAAGGGGCAGAGCCGCCUCUUUUGCCUGAGAAGACUCCGAUCAGUAGACAUCUGUAGUAAGACGCUGCAGAUGUUUUAUCAGUCUGUGGUGGCAAGUGUGCUGUUCUACGCUGCAGUCUGCUGGGGAAGAAGCAUCAAACACAAAGAUGUAAGACGUCUUAUCAAACUGGUGAAAAAGGCUGGCUCAGUGGUAGGACUCAAGCUGGACUCAGUGGAGGAUGUGGUGGAGAGAUCUACACUGAGGAAGGUGGAGACUAUUUUCAAGAACAUGGAUUACCCACUUCACAACACCUUGAUGGAUCAAAGGGCAAAUGGUGGUGGACAGCUCCUCUCUCUUCGCUGCAGGACAGAAAGAUUUAGAAGAUCUUUUGUACCAACAGCCAUCAGGCUUUAUAACUUUUAUGUAAAUAAUAGAUAACUUUUAUAGACAUAUUACAUGAGACAACAGACAAUUGAAUUUCCCUUCGGGGAUCAAUAAAGUUCUUCUUCUUCUUAAGUGUCCUUCUUUUACUUUUAGGAUUUACACAUCAGCUCACCCGAAAACUUCUUUCACUGGGAGUUUGUGGGAAAAGUGUGAGCUCACAUGAGUGCAGAUGGGCAUAUCCACCCUCCAGAACAACCCACUGUAGUGCUUUCUCGUCAUUUCUGUCACUGCUAAAUACUUUUAUGACUCAAACUGGUUUUGAUUCCUCUAGUUUAGUAACAUGAAUCACUGAAGGCUGAAUCUUUGGCUCAUUUUGUUUAUUCUGCUGAAAACUUGUUUGAUACCAAAGUGGCUCCUGAACAGUAAUUCCUGGAGACUCUCUUGAUGUAAAAACUGGAGAAAUUUAUUCAAACAGCUCUGAUUCCUUUGCUGCUCUUCACAUUAUUCUGAAGUGUAACUCCCCAAACUUUGAUAAAUAAGUCAUGGUACUUACGCAUGCAGGAAAAUCAAUCAUGGACGCGUAUUCUUUAUUUCUCUGGUGUAUUUUGUCUCUUCUGCUCCGUUUCAUCACAGACACUUGAAACAUCACUGAGUUUUCAUCACUGAAACUGAAUUGAAACCUUGAGAAUCUGCUGAUGCUUCCCACGGAGAGACAACACUCACAUCUAUUUCGUGCAAACUUGAAAAGACAUGAGGAUGUUAGGAAAGGACGCGAUGCAUGCAAACACUUCAGAAUGAACGGCAGGGUGAGGAAUCGUUUAAAGAGGCAAUGUGAGAAAAUGACAGCAAACUGGAGAAACACAAGCUCAUCUAAGUGGGAAAAGGCUGCAGCUUGUUUUUGCAGAGCUAGCACCAUCAGCCGUUCUCCUUUAGAUCCAAAACAAAGUGAAAUGGCACAUAAACUUGCAAAAUGCAAUCAGAUGACUAAGAUUACAGAGUAUAUUCAUGUGUGGGUUUCAACCUGCAACAGCUGUUUUUGAGACUGCACCACACACACAAACACACACACAAACAGGGCAUAUAAGAGGGGUUGCAUUUUGGUGCAUAUGACGACAUUCUCACUUACUUAUCCCCGACAUGUCGCCCACCGCUACAACAAAUCACACUCAAUCUCACUUUUAUCCUUCAGCUCAUCUUUUCUCCAUGUGCUGCAAACCCACAAGUACACACAAAUACACAGGUACACACACACACAAACACACACACAGGAGAACAGAACUUCAGGACUGCCGUCAUACAAUCAAUAUACCGUACACACUUGAGCCUCAGAGCAGCUCAUGCAAACAUACAUCCACUUCAUCUGCUCUCAGUCUUUAUCAUCUGAUAGUCAAAUAUCAUCCUACUCAAAACAAUACAUACACACACACACACACACACAAACACACACACACACACACACACACACACACACACACACACACACACAGCAUCAUACACUCUGCACCUUCCUGAAGCUAAUGAAAAAAAGAUGAAAUGCAUCUGAGAACAGCCCCCCUUGACUUCCCUCUCUUGAACCCCUCUCCCCCUCCCUCCUAUCAUCAUCUCUUUUUCCUGUCCAGCUUCAUACUUUCCUUUUUUUAAUGCCUUCCUUCUCUGGUUUAAAUUCCACUCUACUCGUUCCUUCAUAUUUAAUUCUCCUUUCAUCACUUAUCUCUCUUCUUCUCUCUUUCUUAAAACAAAUGAUGACAUAAUCUUUUCAAUUAUGUAAAAUCCUAUAAAAGUGCUGCAGUUUAAAUCUGUCAAUAGUGCUUUGAAAACCAUUACUCGAACAAAUGAUGGACAUUAAGCCUAAAAUAAGUCAUAUUCAGUGAUUUGUGGAUUUUUUUUAAUUUUUAUUACUCACAAGUUUAAAAGGACAAGAAACAGUCAGGGGCACUUUUGAUUUGAAUCAGUGUAAAUUAAACGUCCUUAUGGAGCUCCAGACUGUAUACUGAGUCUCCUUUUUGUUCCUGUUAUUAUUAAUAAAGCCGUGGAUACAAGAGAGGGGGAGAGUCUCCAUCAAGCAUGGUUGGAGUGAACCACGUUCAGCGAAUUGCUGCUUUGUUUUCGUUGUGGAAGGCCAACAACCGUCAGAGAUGUAAGCAUUGUCAUGUCUGGGUCUCCUCCAACAGUUGUGCCCGGUUGACGACUGUUUCCAGUGGUAUUUCAUUUCAUUUUUAUUUGUUAAAGAGGGACAGUGUACAUUAAUGAACAUUUUAAAAAGAUAAAAUGUAAAUGGAUCCAAUUGUAGCCACAAGGCUAGUUUCCAUUGGUAGUCCCCCUGCCAGAAGGAACAUGGCUACCUAAAAAGGUGGGAAAUCAGCAACUACAUAAAAACAUACAUAAUACACAAUAUUUAAAACAUCAACAUUACCCACCCGAAAGCACGCCAACCAACUAAUGGGAACAAGUUUGGUUUUCAAGUAACCACCUCUUCAAAUUUACUUUGAAUGCUCUGUAUGAAUUGGACUCUGUUAUGUUUUGUGGUAUUGUGUUCCAAUCCUUGAAAUCCUUGGUAUUUUCAGGUUACCUAAACCCAACUUUCAUGAAUUUGCGUCAUCCGCGCAAAUGACUCGCUCAAUUCAUGCGAUUUGAGCCACCAGAGUAAUACAAGCGUUUAAUCCCAUCUUUGCUUUGACUUUACAUGUAAUUCUUUCACGUGAAUGAUUUUACUUGUGCUUGGUGUGAACGCCCCUUUUGGAAUAAAGCCGAUAAAGCCAACACACCACUGGAUAACAGCGCAGGCCUGAAGAUGAUAAACAUAUAAUUUGAACUUAACAUGAUGAGAGAUUUUUGCUUUGUUUCUAAUUAUUUCAUGUGCUUUGGGAAAAAGAGGAUAAGUCACUCAAAAAACAACCCUCCAAAGACUGAAAGUGAAAUUUGAAGGAGGAAAAGGAAAAUCACUUACAGCUGGUGUGAACAGUGUUCCUACACCUGUGUGAUGUCGUGUGCACCUGCUGAACGAUUUCAGCGGACUGCUCUCUCUCUCUAAUGACCGUCUGCAGGGAAAACGCUUUUUAGGAUGCAUGAGAUUUUUCAGCUCCAGUGCCACCUUGUUAAACUGAACAGCAAGGAGCGUCCCAAAGGGCUGCCCUUCACCCUGCUCACACAGACACACACACACACACAGACACACACACACACACACACACACACACACACACACACACACACACACACACACACACACACACACACACACACACACACACGCACUCCUUCAGUACAGUAGGAAUGAGCUGCAGCUCGUCUCAGAGAGCAGCAGCUUCUGAGUGUAUAAAUCACGCUCUUCUGCUUCUCAGCAUGGAGACAGAGAAUCUUUUUAGAGUCCUUGUCUGUGUCUGCUCUG
This 4436-nucleotide long non-coding RNA is filed under the name Xyrichtys novacula (pearly razorfish). Lineage: Eukaryota; Metazoa; Chordata; Actinopteri; Labriformes; Labridae. The record is from RNAcentral.